This 74-nucleotide transfer RNA is filed under the name Rhodococcus sp. PML026. RNAcentral describes it as "tRNA-Val". It matches the Rfam family "tRNA". From Rfam's summary of the family: Transfer RNA (tRNA) molecules are approximately 80 nucleotides in length. Lineage: Bacteria; Bacillati; Actinomycetota; Actinomycetes; Mycobacteriales; Nocardiaceae. The record is from RNAcentral. RNAcentral also lists the same sequence under 2 other names.
GGGCGUAUAGCUCAGCGGUAGAGCUCUGGUUUUACACACCAGCGGUCGGGGGUUCGAACCCCUCUGCGCCCACC